RNAcentral lists this non-coding RNA (88 nucleotides) under Beta vulgaris subsp. vulgaris (sugar beet). RNAcentral's name for it is "lncRNA IsrR". It matches the Rfam family "Antisense RNA which regulates isiA expression", at positions 1 to 85 of the family's 187-position model. The record is from Rfam by way of RNAcentral. Lineage: Eukaryota; Viridiplantae; Streptophyta; Magnoliopsida; Caryophyllales; Amaranthaceae.
AAUAAUCAAAUAUAAUACUUGAACUAAGGAUAAUAACGUUGGUAAUUUUUCUUACAUUUCCGCCUCCUGGAGCCCAGGUAUCAUAACA